RNAcentral lists this ribosomal RNA (403 nucleotides) under uncultured bacterium. RNAcentral describes it as "partial 16S ribosomal RNA". It matches the Rfam family "Bacterial small subunit ribosomal RNA", at positions 28 to 526 of the family's 1533-position model. The record is from RNAcentral.
GACGAACGCUGGCGGCGUGCCUAAUACAUGCAAGUCGAACGCAGUGGGGACGGUGGAGUAACACGUGGGUAACCUCCCAUCAGAGGGGAGAACACUUGGCAACAGGUGCUAAACCGCUACUGGUUGAUGGACCAGCGGUGGAUUAGCUAGUUGGUGGGGUAACGGCUCACCAAGGCCACGAUGCAUAGCCGGCCUGAGAGGGUGAUCGGCCACACUGGAACUGAGACACGGCCCAGACUCCUACGGGAGGCAGCAGUAGGGAAUCUUCGGCAAUGGGCGAAAGUCUGACCGAGCAACGCCGCGUGAGUGAAGAAGGUUUUCGGAUCGUAAAACACUGUUGUUAGAGAAGCGGUAUCUAACCAGAAAGCAACGGCUAACUACGUGCCAGCAGCCGCGGUAAUAC